AUGGAAGGCAGUGGGACUGGCGCCACAGUGGGCAGCAGCAGGACAGGGCGGCUGAGUCACAGGGACCAGCAGCGGCGGAUGCAGGACACAGCCAGGCCGGCCGAGCACGAGGAAAGGAGGAUGAAGAACACAGUAAGAAAAGCAAGUAGGGCAUCGGCCUGCAGGAUAAGAUGGCGGUCUCCACAGACAAAUUAUGAAAACAGAAUAUAUAGCUUGAAAGUAGAAUGUGGACCUAAAUACCCAGAAGCUCCUACAUCAGUUAGAUUUGUAACGAAAAUUAAUAUGAAUGGAAUAAAUAAUUCCAGUGGGAUGGUGGAUGCACGUAGUAUACCAGUUUUAGCAAAAUUCAUAUAGCAUUAAAGUUGUACUUCAAGAGCUAAGACAUCUAAUGAUGUCCAAAGAAAAUAUGAAGCUUCCACAGCCACCAGAAGGACAAACAUACAACAAUUAAUUUUAGUGGAUCUCAAACUUGUCUUAAAUCAACAACCUUUUACUCAUGUUAAUGUCUUGAUUAAAUAUCACAGUGCAAAAUACCCACAUGUUAAGUAAAGGAAUUUCACCUGGUAAACAUGACCUGGACAUUUGUAAGAAUAUAUUUAAUAUAUGUACACCCAGUAUGUUUUCAGGUAACAAGAGGAAAAAUGCAGCACAUUUUUUUCUCUUGUUAAGGCACUAUCAUUUAAACAUAAACCUGGAAUAUACUCAAAAUAGAAUUCAGGUUUACAAGAUGAAAGUGUGAAGAGGGGUGUCAGAUGUCAGUGGAAGCAUGUGUGUUUCUGAAAAGUAAAAAUCUCAAGAAGGAAAAGCAGAAAUAGCAUGCUUUAUCCAUCUUGCUUAGUGAAAGAGCUGCAGUUGAAAUUGUUUAAAGUAGCAGGUAUAAUGAAUAUUGUCGCAAAUUGUGUUAAUUUUUGAAGCGGUGUGGGUGC
Molecule: RNA transcript, 926 nt
Organism: Otolemur garnettii (small-eared galago)
Lineage: Eukaryota; Metazoa; Chordata; Mammalia; Primates; Galagidae
Gene name: ubiquitin-conjugating enzyme E2 variant 2 pseudogene
Exons: 3
Source: RefSeq, a predicted model, not a curated record